GCCAUCGGCCAUACCAUGCUGAAUACGCCGGUUCUCGUCCGAUCACCGAAGCUAAGCAGCAUCGG
Ixodes scapularis (black-legged tick) is the source of this 65-nucleotide non-coding RNA. The record is from Rfam. Lineage: Eukaryota; Metazoa; Arthropoda; Arachnida; Ixodida; Ixodidae.